UCCCGUAGUUGACGACGUGUGUUCAGUGAAAUCGAGUAGGGCGGGACACGUGAUAUCCUGUCUGAAUAGGGGGGGACCAUCCUCCAAGGCGAAAUACUACUGACUGACCGAUAGGGAACCAGUACCGGGAGGGAAAGGCGAAAAGAACCCCUGUGAGGGGAGUGAAAUAGAACCUGAAACCGUGUACGUACAAGCAGUAGGAGCA
RNAcentral lists this ribosomal RNA (205 nucleotides) under Vibrio parahaemolyticus. Its description in RNAcentral is "partial 23S ribosomal RNA". It matches the Rfam family "Bacterial large subunit ribosomal RNA", at positions 371 to 581 of the family's 2925-position model. Lineage: Bacteria; Pseudomonadati; Pseudomonadota; Gammaproteobacteria; Vibrionales; Vibrionaceae. The record is from RNAcentral.